This is an RNA transcript of Apus apus (common swift), 2254 nucleotides long. It is a transcript of the gene named KH RNA binding domain containing, signal transduction associated 2, with no coding region annotated. The record is from RefSeq and is a predicted model, not a curated record. The transcript has 12 exons. NCBI's taxonomy places the organism in Eukaryota, Metazoa, Chordata, Aves, Apodiformes, Apodidae.
GCGGAGCGAGGCGGCCGGCGCCCGCGCAGCCCUGCCCGACGCGCCCAGGUGCCGCCGCCCCGAGGCGAUGGAGCAGGAGAAGUAUCUGCCGGAGCUGAUGGCAGAGAAGGACAGCCUGGAUCCCUCCUUUGUUCACGCCAUGCGCCUCCUGGCCGACGAAAUUGAAAAAUUUCAGGGUUCUGAAGGCAAAAAGGAAGAUGAAGAAAAGAAAUAUCUUGAUGUUAUCAGCAACAAAAACAUAAAGCUGUCAGAAAGAGUUCUGAUCCCUGUCAAACAAUAUCCAAAGUUCAAUUUUGUUGGAAAAUUGCUUGGACCAAGAGGAAACUCCUUGAAGAGGUUACAAGAAGAAACAGGUGCAAAAAUGUCCAUUCUGGGGAAAGGAUCCAUGAGGGAUAAAGCUAAGGAGGAAGAACUAAGGAAAAGUGGAGAAGCCAAAUAUGCGCACUUGAGUGAUGAGCUUCACGUAUUAAUUGAAGUCUUUGCUCCACCUGGGGAAGCAUAUUCUCGUAUGAGUCACGCCUUGGAAGAAAUAAAAAAAUUCCUCGUUCCUGAUUAUAAUGAUGAAAUUCGCCAGGAGCAGCUGAGAGAACUGUCGUAUUUGAAUGGUUCUGAGGAUUCAGCACGUGGACGGGGCAUUCGAGGAAGAGGGAUCCGUGUACCGCCUACAGCUCCUUCAAGGGGACGUGGGGGUGCGAUUCCUCCCCCCCUGCCCGGACGAGGUGCCCAAGCACCCAGAGGAGCGCCGGUGACCCGCGGAGCCCUCCCUGUCCCACCAGUGGCGAGGGGCGUGCCCACCCCCCGAACAAGGGGUGCCCCGGCUGUCCCGGGCUACAGACCACCCCCUCCUCCUGCACAUGAGGCCUAUGAAGAAUAUGGAUACGAUGAUGGAUAUGGGGGUGAAUAUGAUGAUCCAAGUUAUGAGGCAUAUGAUAACAGUUAUGCCACCCAAACACAAAGUGUGCCUGAAUAUUAUGACUACGGUCACGGAACAAGCGAAGAGGCUUAUGACAGCUACGCACAAGAAGAAUGGGCCACAACCCGUUCCAGCCUAAAGGCACCACCUCCAAGGUCAGCCAGAGGGGGUUACAGGGAACACCCCUAUGGUAGAUAUUGAAGGUCCUCCUCAUCUGUGACCUCAUCUCAAAGACAAUUAAUAGCCUGUGGUCUCCACAUAAACAGCAACAAGACAAGGACUCACAGGCACUGGACAGCUAAGCAGCAGAUCUGCUGAGAAGAGGUCAGAUUUUUGGAGCUCUUAGGGAAGUGUUUUACCUUUUGAAUGGUAUUCGGGGAGUUGAGAGUGUUCCAAUACAAUGUGCAAUAAAUCAGUGGGAUCUGAAGGACUGAGCCUCAGGUUGGGACUCUGCUCAGCCCUGUGUUCUGGACCUGCCAUUACGACCCUCUCUAGGACUUGUUGACACUCAAGCUUACGGUGAUCUUCCAGUCUAUCAGCAAAUGGAGGAGAAGUGGGAAGCUGUUUGCCCUUUAUCAUAUAGAAUGCUAUUCAUCAGAGCCAAAAUACCUUUACUUAUAGCCCAGUCUUCUGACCAUUGGACUACACUUCCUAAAAUGGCUUAAAAGGGAGACUUGGAAGUAGGUGAUCAUUUUCACUCUUUUGUGGACCAUGCUAGUAAUAAGUACAUUUAACUAUUAGUUAAUCAGAGAUCUUACUGGUGAGUUCUGCAGCUACAUCUGUAACUGCUCUGCAGCAUAUAAGUUCGGGUGACUAAGCAGUCAUUGUAACGCUGGUACAGCAUCAAUAAAUGUUGAGUUAGGAGAGAGUCUAGCCUUUAGGCUGUGUCCUGAACUCGCUUUUCUCUCAAAGUCAAAUAUUAUUUUUAGCUUUUAUUGACCUGGACAGCUGACUCCACUCAGCAUUAGUUUCUGGUCAAAUGCACUUCUCUCCCUCUAUGUCUAAACUGACCAACCAAAGAAGUUGUUUUCUUCAGGUAAGAAAUGGAUAUGUAUUAUUGAGGUCCAUCGUGCAAAUCAUUAGAAGUUAGGUGAGAAUGUGAAAGCACAUAUAAUUGAAAGGCUGUCAAAAGGCAAAAGUGUACCAAGCUUCCCAAACCAUUCAAGUUGCAAUUCCUGAAGUUGGAUGACAUUGAAACUCAAUGUUUAAUGCACGCAACUCUGGUGGCCAUGCUCCACAGCACUAGUUGUUGAAUUAUCAGUCACAAAGUCUACUACAGGAGAUUUCCAUUAAAUAAGUCAUCUGUUGUCAUUCACACUUUCUUUCUAGCUCAACUUACCU